This 253-nucleotide ribosomal RNA is filed under the name uncultured bacterium. RNAcentral's name for it is "partial 16S ribosomal RNA". It matches the Rfam family "Bacterial small subunit ribosomal RNA", at positions 524 to 776 of the family's 1533-position model. The record is from RNAcentral.
UACGUAGGGUGCAAGCGUUGUCCGGAAUUAUUGGGCGUAAAGAGCUCGUAGGCGGCUUGUCGCGUCGGCUGUGAAAACCUGGGGCUCAACCCCGGGCCUGCAGCCGAUACGGGCAAGCUAGAAUUCGGUAGGGGAGACUGGAAUUCCUGGUGUAGCAGUGAAAUGCGUAGAGAUCAUGAGGAAGACCAGUGGCGAAGGCGGGUCUCUGGACAGUUCCUGACACUGAGACACGAAGGCCAGGGGAGCAAACGGG